AUACAUUUAAAUGACAUUUAACAGAAAUCAUUUUUGACCUUACUAGAACCUGGAUGGUGCUUUAUAAAAGCUGGUAAUGUGGAAGGCUACAAUUAUGAAGUUACAAGCGAGAGGUUUAUCCUGUGAGAAUCUCGCUUCAGUAUUUUAGUGUCAUUUAUAUACAUCCUACUGGAACCCAACAUAGCCGAGUCACUGCCAUGCUCUGGUCCAGUAAUUAACCUGCUGAGUGCAAACAGGUGUCUUGGAGGAAGAAACUCUGGAUCAAGUCUGGACCUUCAGGACUGCAACUGAUAACGUCGGUGUCAGCUGAUCGCCUGCUGCAGUGUGCAUAUGACUUAUUUAAAUUAACUACCACAAAAGCGCCUUUUUUGUCUUGUGGAUACAACACACUUCCACAAAGCAUUUGCUCCACCGAAAUCCUCUCCAAAGGAUUAAAGGCCAGUUUAAUGAAUUUUCACUAAGGGGACGGAGCAGUGGUGCUCAUCCUACCACCCACAAACAACAGAAAAUGUCUCCUUACCUGACUGGCACUAUUCUGAAAGGAUGGCACCAUAGAAAACAGAAUCAGCAUAACAAGGGAAGGCAAACUAAACACACCCAACAGGCAGCCAAUCAGGGAGGUGCUUUAUGAACUGUCCAGUUGCUAGUGCUUUUCUUUGUUCUUCCCUUUAUAUUACUUAUUUCUGACUUGUUGCUGUUCAUGUUCAGCUACAUGUGUAUAUACCUUAAAAUGAAUAAACCUGGUGCAUGUAGUUGAUCCCCAGGGAGUGCAUCAUUUGAAAUGAGUUUUCCUCUUGCUAGGCUUAGCCCUGGGGAAAUAGUUGAGAGGGUUGGUAUGGACAAGUUAUUUUGAGCUCUCUGGAGAGCAUAAGGCUGUUAUCCUACAACCCAAAUAUAUGGUGGCAUUUCUGGUGUGCACCCUGGCCUCCCUUGAGAUCAGCAGGGGAGAGUGACAAGAAACUGCCCAUCUCAGCCCCAUGUUUUACUGUCUGGACCUGAAUUUUGCUGACCAACCAAUGCCCACUAAACCCAUGUCAAUGGCACCACACAAGAAUGGGCACUCCUGCUGUGGCUUCUGGUUCCUCUUUGGCUGGGGAAUGACUGGCCAGAGUUUUCUGCUGCUGCCAGCAAUGCAACAACCAAGCCCUGUUUGAAAAGCAAAGGAUUUGAGCAACAAGACAUCGAGAGGAACUCUGAGAUGUCUUCU
Molecule: long non-coding RNA, 1207 nt
Organism: Tachysurus fulvidraco (yellow catfish)
Lineage: Eukaryota; Metazoa; Chordata; Actinopteri; Siluriformes; Bagridae
Exons: 3
Source: RefSeq, a predicted model, not a curated record